UACGUAGGGCGCAAGCGUUGUCCGGAAUUAUUGGGCGUAAAGCGCGCGCAGGCGGUUAAUUAAGUCAGAUGUGAAAGGCUACGGCUCAACCGUAGAGUUGCAUUUGAAACUGGUUAACUUGAGUGCAGGAGAGGUAAGUGGAAUUCCCGGUGUAGCGGUGGAAUGCGUAGAGAUCGGGAGGAACACCAGUGGCGAAGGCGGCUUACUGGCCUGCAACUGACGCUGAGGCGCGAAAGCGUGGGGAGCGAACAGG
RNAcentral lists this ribosomal RNA (253 nucleotides) under uncultured bacterium. RNAcentral's name for it is "partial 16S ribosomal RNA". It matches the Rfam family "Bacterial small subunit ribosomal RNA", at positions 524 to 776 of the family's 1533-position model. The record is from RNAcentral.